GGGUGGAUAGUUUAGUUAAAAUGGUGCCAUGUGGAGGCACAGAAAGCUUGAGGCUUCAUCCU
This 62-nucleotide transfer RNA is filed under the name Hoplopleura sp. RNAcentral describes it as "tRNA-His". Lineage: Eukaryota; Metazoa; Arthropoda; Insecta; Psocodea; Hoplopleuridae. The record is from RNAcentral.